UCCCCAGUAGCUCAGUUGGCAGAGCGAGUGGCUGUUAACCACUAAGUCCGCGGUUCGAGUCCGUGCUGGGGAGCCA
RNAcentral lists this transfer RNA (76 nucleotides) under Pseudomonadota bacterium. Its description in RNAcentral is "Proteobacteria bacterium (cold seep metagenome) tRNA-Asn". It matches the Rfam family "tRNA". Rfam says of the family: Transfer RNA (tRNA) molecules are approximately 80 nucleotides in length. Their secondary structure includes four short double-helical elements and three loops (D, anti-codon, and T loops). Further hydrogen bonds mediate the characteristic L-shaped molecular structure. tRNAs have two regions of fundamental functional importance: the anti-codon, which is responsible for specific mRNA codon recognition, and the 3' end, to which the tRNAs corresponding amino acid is attached (by aminoacyl-tRNA synthetases). tRNAs cope with the degeneracy of the genetic code in two manners: having more than one tRNA (with a specific anti-codon) for a particular amino acid; and 'wobble' base-pairing, i.e. permitting non-standard base-pairing at the 3rd anti-codon position. The record is from RNAcentral. Lineage: Bacteria; Pseudomonadati; Pseudomonadota. RNAcentral also lists the same sequence under 8 other names.